This 253-nucleotide ribosomal RNA is filed under the name uncultured bacterium. RNAcentral's name for it is "partial 16S ribosomal RNA". It matches the Rfam family "Bacterial small subunit ribosomal RNA", at positions 524 to 776 of the family's 1533-position model. The record is from RNAcentral.
UACGUAGGCAGCGAGCGUUGUUCGGAAUUACUGGGCGUAAAGAGUGCGUAGGUGGUUGGCUAAGUUUGGUGUGAAAUCUCCUGGCUUAACUGGGAGGGUGCGCCGAAAACUGGCUGGCUAGAGUGUGGGAGAGGGAAGUGGAAUUCCUGGUGUAGCGGUGAAAUGCGUAGAUAUCAGGAGGAACACCUGAGGUGUAGACGGCUUCCUGGACCAUUACUGACACUGAGGCACGAAAGCGUGGGUAGCAAACAGG